RNAcentral lists this ribosomal RNA (253 nucleotides) under uncultured bacterium. RNAcentral describes it as "partial 16S ribosomal RNA". It matches the Rfam family "Bacterial small subunit ribosomal RNA", at positions 524 to 776 of the family's 1533-position model. The record is from RNAcentral.
UACGGGGGGGGCAAGCGUUGUUCGGAAUUACUGGGCGUAAAGGGCUCGUAGGCGGCCAACUAAGUCAGACGUGGAAUCCCUAGGCUCAACCUAGGAACUGCGUCUGAUACUGGAUGGCUUGAAUCCGGGAGAGGGAUGCAGAAUUCCAGGUGUAGCAGUGAAAUGCGUAGAUAUCAUGAGGAAUACCAGAGGCGAAGGCGGCUACCUGGACAAUUGCUGACGCUCAGGCACGAAAGCGUGGGGAGCAAAAGGG